CCUACGGGCGGCAGCAGUGAGGAAUAUUGGUCAAUGGACGAGAGUCUGAACCAGCCAAGUAGCGUGAAGGAUGACUGCCCUAUGGGUUGUAAACUUCUUUUAUAAAGGAAUAAAACGAGGCACGUGUGCCUUUUUGCAUGUACUUUAUGAAUAAGGAUCGGCUAACUCCGUGCCAGCAGCCGCGGUAAUACGGAGGAUCCGAGCGUUAUCCGGAUUUAUUGGGUUUAAAGGGAGCGUAGAUGGGUUGUUAAGUCAGUUGUGAAAGUUUGCGGCUCAACCGUAAAAUUGCAAUUGAUACUGGAAGUCUUGAGUACAGUUGAGGUAGGCGGAAUUCGUGGUGUAGCGGUGAAAUGCUUAGAUAUCACGAAGAACCCCGAUUGCGAAGGCAGCUUACUAAACUGUGACUGACAUUGAGGCUCGAAAGUGUGGGUAUCAAACAGGAUUAGAUACCCCGGUAGUC
This 460-nucleotide ribosomal RNA is filed under the name uncultured bacterium. Its description in RNAcentral is "partial 16S ribosomal RNA". It matches the Rfam family "Bacterial small subunit ribosomal RNA", at positions 338 to 795 of the family's 1533-position model. The record is from RNAcentral.